RNAcentral lists this transfer RNA (75 nucleotides) under Candidatus Bathyarchaeota archaeon. Its description in RNAcentral is "tRNA-Arg". It matches the Rfam family "tRNA". From Rfam's summary of the family: Transfer RNA (tRNA) molecules are approximately 80 nucleotides in length. Lineage: Archaea; Thermoproteati; Candidatus Bathyarchaeota. The record is from RNAcentral.
GGACCUGUAGCUCAGCCCGGAUAGAGCGACUGCCUCCUAAGCAGUAGGUCGGAGGUUCGAAUCCUCCCAGGUCCG